GAUGAAGAACGUAGCGAAAUGCGAUACGUAAUGUGAAUUGCAGAAUUCAGUGAAUCAUCGAAUCUUUGAACGCAUAUUGCGCUCUCUGGUAUUCCGGAGAGCAUGCUUGUUUGAGUAUCAGUAAACACCUCAACUUCCAUAUCUUUUUUGAAAUGGGAGUUGGACUUGAGUGAUCCCAACGCUUUUCCUCACCGAAAAGUGGCGGGUUACUUGAAAUGCAGGUGCAGCUGGACUUUUCUCUGAGCUAUAAGCAUAUCUAUUUAGUCUGCCUAAAAAACAGAUUAUUACCUUUGCUGCAGCUAACAUAAAGGAGAUUAGUUCUUGUGCUGACUGAUGCAGGAUUCACAAAGACAGGCUUCGGCCGACUUUGUAAACUCGAUCUCAAAUCAAGUAAGACUACCCGCUGAACUUAAGCAUAUCAAUAGCGGAGG
RNAcentral lists this unclassified non-coding RNA (431 nucleotides) under soil metagenome. RNAcentral's name for it is "partial contains 5.8S ribosomal RNA, internal transcribed spacer 2, and large subunit ribosomal RNA". The stretch from base 1 to 120 matches the Rfam family "5.8S ribosomal RNA", at positions 35 to 154 of the family's 154-position model. The record is from RNAcentral.